GACGAACGCUGGCGGCGUGCUUAACACAUGCAAGUCGAACGGAAAGGCCCUGCUUUUGUGGGGUGCUCGAGUGGCGAACGGGUGAGUAACACGUGAGUAACCUGCCCUUGACUUUGGGAUAACUUCAGGAAACUGGGGCUAAUACCGGAUAGGAGCUCCUGCUGCAUGGUGGGGGUUGGAAAGUUUCGGCGGUUGGGGAUGGACUCGCGGCUUAUCAGCUUGUUGGUGGGGUAGUGGCUUACCAAGGCUUUGACGGGUAGCCGGCCUGAGAGGGUGACCGGCGACAUUGGGACUGAGAUACGGCCCAGAAUCCUACGGGAGGCAGCAGGGGGGAGUAUUGCACAAUGGGCGGAAGCCUGAGGCAGCAACGCCGCGUGCGAGAUGACGGCCUUCGGGUUGUAAACCGCUUUCGCCUGUGACGAAGCGUGAGUGACGGUAAUGGGUAAAGAAGCACCGGCUAACUACGUG
RNAcentral lists this ribosomal RNA (468 nucleotides) under uncultured bacterium. RNAcentral's name for it is "partial 16S ribosomal RNA". It matches the Rfam family "Bacterial small subunit ribosomal RNA", at positions 28 to 507 of the family's 1533-position model. The record is from RNAcentral.